Molecule: ribosomal RNA, 433 nt
Filed under: uncultured bacterium
Lineage: Bacteria
Description: partial 16S ribosomal RNA
Rfam family: Bacterial small subunit ribosomal RNA
Source: RNAcentral
AACGAACGCUGGCGGCAUGCCUAACACAUGCAAGUCGAACGAGACCUUCCGGUCUGGUGGCGCACGGGUGCGUAACGCGUGGGAACCUGCCCGUAGGUUCGGAAUAACUCCCCGAAAGUACUCCUAAUAGCGGAUAAUGUCUCCUGCCCAAAGGUGUAGCGCCGUUGGGUGGGCCCGCGUUGGAGUGGCUAGUUGGUAGGGUGAAAGCCUACCAAGGCGACGAGGCAUAGCUGGUCUGAGAGGAUGAUCAGCCACACUGGUACUGGGACACCGCGCAGACUCCUACGCGAGGCAGCAGUGGGUAAUAUUGGAAAGUGGGCGACAGCCUGAUCCAGCAAUGCUGGGUGAGUGAUGAAGGACUUAGGGUUGUAAAGCUGUUUUACACGGGAUGAUAAUGACAGUACCGGGAGAAUAAGCUCCGGCUAACUCCGUG